GAGAGAUGUGGAGAAACGGGAGCCCUCUUACAUUGUUGGUGGGAGUGAGAACUGAUGCAGCCACUCUGGAAAACAGUAUGGAGGCUCAUCAAAAAUUAAAAAUAGAACUACCCUAUGACCCAGUAAUUGCCCUACUAGAUAUUUAUCUGAAAGAUAUGGAAAUAGUGACUCAAAGGAGCAUGUGCAUCCCAAUGUUUAUAGCAGCAAUGUCCACAGUAGCCAAACUAUGGGAAGAGCCCAGAUGUCCAUCAACAGAUGAAUGCAUAGAGAAGA
Long non-coding RNA from Lutra lutra (Eurasian river otter), 273 nucleotides. RefSeq lists it as uncharacterized. The record is from RefSeq and is a predicted model, not a curated record. Lineage: Eukaryota; Metazoa; Chordata; Mammalia; Carnivora; Mustelidae. The transcript is spliced from 2 exons.